CCUACGGGUGGCAGCAGUGAGGAAUAUUGGUCAAUGGGCGCGAGCCUGAACCAGCCAAGUAGCGUGAAGGAUGACUGCCCUAUGGUUUGUAAACCUCUUUUAUGCUGGGAUAUAGGUGUCCACGUUUGGAUGCUUGCAGGUACCGCAUGAGUUAGGACCGGCGAAUUCCGUGCACGCAGCCGCGGUAAUACGGAAGGUCCGGGCGGUAUCCGGAUUUAUUGGGUUUAAGGGGAGCGUAGGACGGUCUUUAAGCGUGCCGUGAAAUUUUGUGGCUCAACCAUGAGAGUGCGGGGCGAACUGGAGACCUUGAGUGCGCGGAAGGCGGGCGGAAUUCGUGGUGUAGCGGUGAAAUGCUUAGAUAUCACGAAGAACACCGAUUGCGAAGGCAGCCUGCCGCGGCGUAACUGACGCUGAAGCUCGAAAGCGCGGGUAUCGAACAGGAUUAGAUACCCGAGUAGUC
Molecule: ribosomal RNA, 460 nt
Filed under: uncultured bacterium
Lineage: Bacteria
Description: partial 16S ribosomal RNA
Rfam family: Bacterial small subunit ribosomal RNA
Source: RNAcentral